GAUGAACGCUGGCGGCGUGCCUAACACAUGCAAGUCGAACGAAGCACUUAAGAUUGAUUCUUCGGAUGACGGCUUUUGUGACUUAGUUGCCGACGGGUUAGUAACGCGUGGGUAACCUGCCUCCCACAGGGGGAUAACAUUUAGAAAUGACUGCUAAUACCGCAUAACCCGAUAGGAUCGCAUGAUCCAGGCGGAAAAGAUUUAUCGGUGUUGGAUGGACCCGCGUCUGAUUAGCUAGUUGGGGAGGUAACCGCCUACCAAGGCGACGAUCAGUAGCCGGCCUGAGAGGGUGAACGGCCACACUGGGACUGAGACACGGCCCAAACUCCUACGGGAGGCAGCAGUGGGGAAUAUUGCACAAUGGGGGAAACCCUGAUGCAGCGACGCCGCGUGAGUGAAGAAGUCUUUAGGUAUGUAAAGCUCUAUCAGCCGGGAAGAAAAUGACGGUACCUGAAUAAGAAGCCCCGGCUAACUCCGUG
RNAcentral lists this ribosomal RNA (479 nucleotides) under uncultured bacterium. Its description in RNAcentral is "partial 16S ribosomal RNA". It matches the Rfam family "Bacterial small subunit ribosomal RNA", at positions 28 to 507 of the family's 1533-position model. The record is from RNAcentral.